RNAcentral lists this ribosomal RNA (729 nucleotides) under uncultured bacterium. RNAcentral's name for it is "bacterial SSU rRNA". It matches the Rfam family "Bacterial small subunit ribosomal RNA", at positions 622 to 1352 of the family's 1533-position model. The record is from RNAcentral.
AGCAUUUGAAACUGGCAGACUAGAGUACUGUAGAGGGGGGUAGAAUUUCAGGUGUAGCGGUGAAAUGCGUAGAGAUCUGAAGGAAUACCGGUGGCGAAGGCGGCCCCCUGGACAGAUACUGACACUCAGAUGCGAAAGCGUGGGGAGCAAACAGGAUUAGAUACCCUGGUAGUCCACGCCGUAAACGAUGUCUACUUGGAGGUUGUGGCCUUGAGCCGUGGCUUUCGGAGCUAACGCGUUAAGUAGACCGCCUGGGGAGUACGGUCGCAAGAUUAAAACUCAAAUGAAUUGACGGGGGCCCGCACAAGCGGUGGAGCAUGUGGUUUAAUUCGAUGCAACGCGAAGAACCUUACCUACUCUUGACAUCCAGAGAACUUUCCAGAGAUGGAUUGGUGCCUUCGGGAACUCUGAGACAGGUGCUGCAUGGCUGUCGUCAGCUCGUGUUGUGAAAUGUUGGGUUAAGUCCCGUAACGAGCGCAACCCUUGUCCUUAGUUACCAUCAUUAAGUUGGGGACUCUAAGGAGACAGCCGGUGACAAACCGGAGGAAGGCGGGGACGACGUCAAGUCAUCAUGGCCCUUACGAGUAGGGCUACACACGUGCUACAAUGGCCGGUACAAAGGGUUGCCAAGCCGCGAGGUGGAGCUAAUCUCAUAAAGCCGGUCGUAGUCCGGAUUGGAGUCUGCAACUCGACUCCAUGAAGUCGGAAUCGCUAGUAAUCGUGAAUCAG